Phyllostomus discolor (pale spear-nosed bat) is the source of this 496-nucleotide long non-coding RNA. RefSeq lists it as uncharacterized. The record is from RefSeq and is a predicted model, not a curated record. Lineage: Eukaryota; Metazoa; Chordata; Mammalia; Chiroptera; Phyllostomidae. The transcript is spliced from 3 exons.
GCCCGGCCCUGGAGGAGGGCGGACCGAGGCACCUCCCCCGAGUGCGGGUCGCCCGCCAGCGCCCGCAGACCGGCUCUUGCGCCCCGCCCGCGGCCGCCUCUCGGCCUCGCCGGCUCACCCUAGCUUGACUCUCCUCUCGGGCAGCGGAGAGGGGGCGAGGAGGAGGAGCCGUGGAGCAGGGAGGGGAGAAAGGUGAAUCCUUGUGUCUGCAUCCGGAUGGCAUUCAGGCAGACUUUGAGUCCUUAUUGAGAUCGCCCAGCCUGUGAGUGACAUCAGGAAUGAAACUUGAACAGAAAGUGUUGCGCACUUCUUGCUGCACCAAGCUCUGGCCUGUGGAGGGCCUGAGGCCAAAAGAGAGACUUCUUAUUUCAUGGGCCGCUCCGCUUGGUCUCCUGCCUCAGAGUCCCUGGCUCACACUCGGAACCCCCCGCGGAGGCUCUUGGCUGGAGUGCUCCCUGGUGCGCGGCUGGAGCUGAGUGCCCGGGAGCACAGAAGG